Molecule: ribosomal RNA, 1372 nt
Filed under: Dietzia sp. 111N12-1
Lineage: Bacteria; Bacillati; Actinomycetota; Actinomycetes; Mycobacteriales; Dietziaceae
Description: bacterial LSU rRNA
Rfam family: Bacterial large subunit ribosomal RNA
Source: RNAcentral
ACAGUGGACGCGAGCAUCUUUAAUUGUUUGUGAAUGUAAGUGUGUAAGAGCACACGGUGGAUGCCUUGGCACCAAGAGCCGAUGAAGGACGUAGUAGGCUGCGAUAAGCCUCGGGGAGCUGCCAAACGAGCUGUGAUCCGAGGGUGUCCGAAUGGGGAAACCCAGCACGCGUGAUGGCGUGUUACCCGCAUCUGAAUACAUAGGGUGUGUGGAGGGAACGCGGGGAAGUGAAACAUCUCAGUACCCGCAGGAAGAGAAAACAAUAGUGAUUCCGUCAGUAGCGGCGAGCGAACGCGGAUCAGGCUAAACCGCAUGCGUGUGAUACCCGGCAGGGGUUGCGUGUGUGGUGUUGUGGGGCAUGAUGUCCCGGUUCUGCCGGACCGGGCGCUGAUUGAUCGCGGGUUAGGGGAACGACUUGGAAGGGUCGGCCGGAGAGGGUGAGAGUCCCGUACCUGAAAACCUUGCGGCGGGGCGAUUUGUGUUCCCAAGUAGCAGCGGGCCCGUGAAAUCUGCUGUGAAUCUGCCGGGACCACCCGGUAAGCCUAAAUACUUCUUGGUGACCGAUAGCGGAUUAGUACCGUGAGGGAAUGGUGAAAAGUACCCCGGGAGGGGAGUGAAAUAGUACCUGAAACCGUGUGCUUACAAUCCGUCAGAGGCUUUAGGGCUGAUGGCGUGCCUUUUGAAGAAUGAGCCUGCGAGUUAGUGGUAUGUCGCGAGGUUAACCCGUGUGGGGAAGCCGUAGCGAAAGCGAGUCCUAAUAGGGCGUUUCAGUGGCAUGCUCUAGACCCGAAGCGGAGUGAUCUACCCAUGGCCAGUGUGAAGCGACGGUAAGACGUCGUGGAGNACUGUAGUGGCAUGCUCUAGACCCGAAGCGGAGUGAUCUACCCAUGGCCAGUGUGAAGCGACGGUAAGACGUCGUGGAGGCGCGAACCCACUUAGGUUGAAAACUGAGGGGAUGAGUUGUGGGUAGGGGUGAAAGGCCAAUCAAACUCCGUGAUAGCUGGUUCUCCCCGAAAUGCAUUUAGGUGCAGCGUCGCAUGUUUCACCUCGGAGGUAGAGCUACUGGAUGGCCGAUGGGCCCUACAAGGUUACUGACGUCAGCCAAACUCCGAAUGCCGAGGUGUGAGAGUGCGGCAGUGAGACUGUGGGGGAUAAGCUUCAUAGUCGAGAGGGAAACAGCCCAGAUCGCCGGCUAAGGCCCCUAAGCGUGUACUAAGUGGAAAAGGAUGUGGGAUCGCUGAGACAGCCAGGAGGUUGGCUUAGAAGCAGCCACCCUUGAAAGAGUGCGUAAUAGCUCACUGGUCAAGUGGUCCUGCGCCGACAAUUUAGCGGGGCUCAAGUACACCGCCGAAGCCGCGGCAUUCAUACAAUA